GUAGGUGGCACUGUAAGUUGGUAGUGAAAGCGUUCGGCUCAACCGAAUAAACAUUAUCAAAACUGCAGAGCUAGAGGAUGAGAGAGGUUAUUGGAAUUCCUAGUGUAGGAGUGAAAUCCGUAGAUAUUAGGAGGAACACCGAUGGCGUAGGCAGAUAACUGGCUCAUUCCUGACACUAAGGCACGAAAGCGUGGGGAGCAAACAGGAUUAGAUACCCUGGUAGUCCACGCCGUAAACUAUGGAUGCUAGCUGUUAGAAGUAUCGACCCUUCUAGUAGCGAAGCUAACGCGUUAAGCAUCCCGCCUGUGGAGUACGGCCGCAAGGCUAAAACAUAAAGGAAUUGACGGGGACCCGCACAAGCGGUGGAGCGUGUUGUUUAAUUCGAAGCUAAGCGAAGAACCUUACCCAGGCUUGACAUCCUUGGAAGCUCUGCGAAAGCAGAGUGUGCCUUCGGGAACCAAGUGACAGGUGCUGCAUGGCCGUCGUCAGCUCGUGUCGUGAGACGUUAGGUUAAGUCCUAUAACGAGCGCAACCCUUGUGGCUAGUUGAAUUUUUCUAGUCAAACAGCCCUGGUAACAGGGAGGAAGGAGGGGUCGAAGUCAGGUCAGUAUUGCCCUUACGCCUGGGGCUACAAACACGCUACAAUGGCCGGUACAAAGGGCUGCCAAGUCGCGAGACGGAGCAAAUCCCAUCAAAGCCGGUCCCAGUUCGGAUUGCAGGCUGAAACUCGCCUGCAUGAAGUCGGAAUCGCUAGUAACGGUAGGUCAGCACACUACCGUGAAUACGUUCCCGGGUCUUGUACACACCGCCCGUCAAACCAUGAAAGUCGCCAAUACCUGACGUCCUAGCUUGCCUAGGCCUAAGGUAGGGGAGAUGAUUGGGGUU
This 885-nucleotide ribosomal RNA is filed under the name uncultured Candidatus Saccharibacteria bacterium. Its description in RNAcentral is "bacterial SSU rRNA". It matches the Rfam family "Bacterial small subunit ribosomal RNA", at positions 571 to 1482 of the family's 1533-position model. Lineage: Bacteria; Candidatus Saccharimonadota. The record is from RNAcentral.